This 99-nucleotide microRNA precursor is filed under the name Marmota monax (woodchuck). The record is from RNAcentral. Lineage: Eukaryota; Metazoa; Chordata; Mammalia; Rodentia; Sciuridae.
AGUAGGAUAGCUAGGUCAAAUGGUUCCGUUCCAAGUUUUUGAGGAAUCUCCACAAUGCUUUCCAAAGUGGUUGCACCAAUUUGCAGUUUCACUAGCAAC